GCGAACACCAGAAGGCCACCGUGGACCACGGCUAACCCGCGUCCAACGUCCAAACUUUCGGCGAGCGAAGGAUGACGUGCGCGGUGCCUGUCUGCAGCCGCGCUUGAUGAUGGACGGGACAGCGAACACCAGAAGGCCACCGUGGACCACGGCUAACCCGCGGCCAACGUCCAAACUUUCGGCGAGCGAAGGAUGACGUGCGCGGUGCCUGUCUGCAGCCGCGCUUGAUGAUGGACGGGACAGCGAACACCAGAAGGCCACCGAGGACCACGGCUGACCCGCGGUCAACGCCCACAUGUUCGGAUCAUUACUGCGGCUCAACGCGAAAAACGACAAGGAAAAUCUCGCGCAUCCCCUUCAAGAGCUACAGGAAGACUUCAAUCUCAAUUUGGUGGAAUGGUCGUCGCUUGGGCUCGUCAGCUGCGUCUUCCUCCGAUCCACCUUCACCAGGACGUGAUCCCUCCAGUUGUUCGUCGGGCUGGACA
Long non-coding RNA from Cloeon dipterum, 485 nucleotides. RefSeq lists it as uncharacterized. Lineage: Eukaryota; Metazoa; Arthropoda; Insecta; Ephemeroptera; Baetidae. The record is from RefSeq and is a predicted model, not a curated record. The transcript is spliced from 4 exons.